GAUGAACGCUGGCGGCGUGCCUAACACAUGCAAGUCGAGCGAAGCAUACAGAAUGAAGUUUUCGGAUGGAUUUCUGUAUGACUGAGCGGCGGACGGGUGAGUAACGCGUGGGUAACCUGCCUUAUACAGGGGGAUAACAGUUAGAAAUGACUGCUAAUACCGCAUAAGCGCACAGUACUGCAUGGUACAGUGUGAAAAACUCCGGUGGUAUAAGAUGGACCCGCGUCUGAUUAGCCAGUUGGCGGGGUAACGGCCCACCAAAGCGACGAUCAGUAGCCGACCUGAGAGGGUGACCGGCCACAUUGGGACUGAGACACGGCCCAA
Molecule: ribosomal RNA, 324 nt
Filed under: uncultured bacterium
Lineage: Bacteria
Description: bacterial SSU rRNA
Rfam family: Bacterial small subunit ribosomal RNA
Source: RNAcentral